This is a long non-coding RNA of Arabidopsis thaliana (thale cress), 355 nucleotides long. RefSeq annotates it as other RNA. The transcript has 2 exons. Lineage: Eukaryota; Viridiplantae; Streptophyta; Magnoliopsida; Brassicales; Brassicaceae. The record is from RefSeq.
CUUUCAUGAGUCGCCCAUGCGUUGCACUACUGCACGGGCCUGGCUCAACCCGCCAAUUUUAAAGUCCUAAUUUGAUCCUCUAAUAACUUUAUUUCAGUCUUUCUUAAAAACAUUUUACUUUAAUAUUAUUGACCACUCUUUCGAUUUUGGUAGUUAAUGUAUAUAUCGUUGAUCUGAUUGAAAUGGCUGGGAAUGAUUUUGAGUUUAUGGAACUUUGAUGGUGCUACUUAUAUUGCCUGCUCUGAUACUAAACGCUCGUUGAAAAAUCUUUAAAGCAGGUGCAUACCAAUUCAGUUUAAUCGAUCUGAUGGCUUAGGAUUUAUUUCUCUCUGUCUUUUCCCGUUGCUGAGUCAAG